UACGGGGGGAGCAAGCGUUGUUCGGAUUUACUGGGCGUAAAGGGCGCGUAGGCGGCCACCGCAAGUCAGUCGUGAAAUCUCCGGGCUUAACUCGGAAAGGUCGACUGAUACUGCGGGGCUAGAGUGCGGAAGGGGCAACUGGAAUUCUCGGUGUAGCGGUGAAAUGCGUAGAUAUCGAGAGGACCACCUGCGGCGAAGGCGGGUUGCUGGGCCGACACUGACGCUGAUGCGCGAAAGCCAGGGGAGCGAACGGG
This 254-nucleotide ribosomal RNA is filed under the name uncultured bacterium. Its description in RNAcentral is "partial 16S ribosomal RNA". It matches the Rfam family "Bacterial small subunit ribosomal RNA", at positions 524 to 776 of the family's 1533-position model. The record is from RNAcentral.